This 3930-nucleotide transfer RNA is filed under the name Capra hircus (goat). Its description in RNAcentral is "lncRNA (ENSCHIG00010005846.1)". Lineage: Eukaryota; Metazoa; Chordata; Mammalia; Artiodactyla; Bovidae. The record is from RNAcentral.
CUGACGUGCAAAUGACUGAAACAGUAUUAUUCAAUAUCUUUGUGCUAAAAAUCCUUUGACUGUCAUCUUUAAAGGAGGGUCUCACAGGCACUGUUUUAAUCUUAAGCUCCAGCUCUUCCAGGCAGGAUUUGUCUUCUUCCCCAGGACUCCUCCUCAGAUGUCUUCCCCAUCACACCCCCAACCCCACAACUGCACCUCCUUCCUCUUCCACAAAGCCCAGCUUUCUCUCAAAACUUUAUUAUGCAAAAAGCUUCAAACCCCUCCCCUUGUCCGGGGUCCCUGCCCUGGACACUUAAAAGGCUCCUCUGAGUUUAAAUAAACGAAAAAUCAUUUUUUCCUCAGAAAAAAUAGUGCUGCCAGGUCAUUAAAAUAGAGAUUUUCCGCCUACUUAUUAAGCGCAUUAAAUAAAUGCAAUCCAAGGACUAAUACCAAGAAAUCACUUUCCUUUUAUUGAUAGUUCGAAUUUGACCAAGUGUGAGCCUAGACAGCAAAUAGGCCCGAAUCCCAUGGAAGUCAACUUACAGAAUCGCCACCAGAGGGCGGUAACACCAAAGCAUUCGUAUAUUGCAGGACUAUCUCCUUCCCUCACCCACCAGAGUAACCUAGCCCCUUCUGCUAAAGCAAAUGUUAUCCUCAGUCUUCCUGCUUCAAGUGGUCGCUGCUGGGAACGUGAAACACCAAAUGCAACAUUAUUAGAACAUGGUUUGGGUUAUUUGAGUUUUACACAGCACUUUUUGCCAACUUUAUUGAAAACAUGUUUUCAUGAGAACCAAUCUUAUUCCACCUACUGCCAGCUAAAUUUAUCUCCGCAGAGUUUAACAACACAGAGUGAUUAAUUAGGGACCAAGCCAUUUCCUGAGCACUUAACUGAUUUUGUGACUAUGAGUCACCCUUGUUGUUUUAGACAUCUGUCCCUGAAUAAAAUGCAUUUAUUUAUGCUUUCCGAAGUUUUUGAUCUCUUGUUUUUCUUCUUUCAAAGGUGACACAGUUGUUGGAAAAGCAAAGCUGUUUAUUCCUCUUUCUUUAAAAAAAAAAAAAAAGGCUNNNNNNNNNNNNNNAGCAACCCCAUUAAGAGCUAAGUCAUAUGUUACUUCUGCUCAGAUCCCUCUAGUGGCUUCUCCUCUCUAAGCAAAAAUCAUUUCCUUACAUACAUAAGGCCCAUAGGCUCUGUCUAGCCCGCAUUCACGCUGUCGUCUUCUUUCCACUCUCCCCCAGCCAUGCUCCUUGCUAGCCAGUAUGCAUGCUCUACCUCAGGAUGUUUGUACCUGCUUGCUAUUUUUCUUGGAUCGUCUUUUCUCACUGCCACCUGCAUAACUAUGGAAGUCUUCCUUCACUUGCUUCAAACAUCAUCUUCUAAGUAAGUCUUUCCUGGCCUUUGUACCUUAAAUGAAAACCAUCACUCACCCAUACCCAUAUCUUCACGCUCUUUAUCCUUUUCCUUUCUUUAUGUUUUUUACUUUAGCAUUUCCACUAACAUUCCAUGCCCUUUAAUUAUUUAUGUACUUUAUUCCUUGUUACUUUACAAAAAAUUGUAAGCUGCCUGCUGCUGCUGCUGCUGCGAAGUUGCUUCAGUCGUGUCCGANNNNNNNNNNNNNNNNNNNNNNNNGCCCACCAGGCUCCCCCGUCCCUGGGAUUCUCCAGGCAAGAACACUAGGGGUAGGCUUUUUAAAUAUAGCUUCUUCACUGCUAUAUUUCCAACUCCUAGAAUAAUAUGUCGCACACAGUAGGAACUCAACAAAAGUUUAUUGAAAGGAUGAAGAAACAAAUUAACAACGAAAAACUAGAAGUGCUUACUUCAGCCACCUUGUCUGUUCCUUCUCAUCAGCCACAUCUCUACUCAAUAAUCAUCUCUCUCCACACUAAGCAGCCCUUAUUGGAAGUCUUUUUCCUGAUUUAUUCUUCAUAGUCUUCACUAUUGCCAAAUUUUGUUCCUCAAAUAAUUGUUUACUUUAAAUAAAUAAUUUAUCUUAAACAUCAUGAGGGCAAUAAAUUGAAAAGGCAACCUACAGAAUGGGAGAAAAUAAUUGCAGACCAUCAUGAAAAUUAACAGAGGGAAACCUGAGUAAAACAGGGUCAGGAGGCCAGAAGCAGAAGCUCUCGUGUAUGUACCACACAAGUCAAUUCAGGGCCCAACAGGAAGAGAUGUACCUUGCACCUCUGGCAGGAAGUGACAGUCCUUUACUAUAGCUAGCAGGAGAAAGAGCUUUUCUCAGCCUGGCAACAGUUUUGCCAAUGAGAAAUGGCCACACCUCAGCCAAUGAACUCUCAGCUUCCUCCCAUGGACUUUUAGUUUAUAAUAGCCCCUUCCAAUUUUCCAUACUCCUCUAUAAAGGAGUUUUCUCUCUUUCGCUUUAUAGGAUUUGCAUGAGGUUUGCCACAGCUGUAUGUCCCAAUUUGCAAUUCUCUAUUGCUCCCAAAUAAACCAGUUUUGCUGAAAAAUAACUGGGCAUUUUUUGUUUUAGAUUAACACUAUAUAUUUGAUAAGGGGUUAAUAUCCAAAAUAUAUAAAGAACUCAAUACAACUCAAUAGCAAAAAGCCAAAUAACCCGAUUUUUUAAAUGGACAGAGGGAAAAUAGACAGUUUUUUCCAAAGAAGACAUCCGAAUGGCCAAUAGGUAAUCAACUUCAUUAAUGAGGGAGAUGCAAAUUAAAAUCACCAUGAAGGACUUCCCUGGUGGUCCAGGGGUUAAGACUCUGUACUUCCACUGCAGGGGGGCACAGGUUCAGUCCCUGGUCAGGGAACUGAGAUCCCACAUGCCGGGUAGUGAGGCCAAAUAAAACAUAAUAAGUAGAUAAAUGAUAGAUAGAUUAAAANNNNNNNNNNNNNNNNNNNNNNNNNNNNNNNNNNNNNNNNNNNNNNNNNNNNNNNNNNNNNNNNNNNNNNNNNNNNNNNNNNNNNNNNNNNNNNNNNNNAAACAUAAUAAGUAGAUAAAUGAUAGAUAGAUUAAAAAUAAAGCCACCAUGAGAUAUCACUGAACACCUGUUAGGAUGGCUGUUUUCAAAAAGACAAGAGUUAAAAAAUGUUGGUGAGGAUGAGGAGGAAAGGGGACCCUUAUCCAUUGUUGGCUGGAAUGUACAGCAAUAGUAGAAAAUAGUAUGUGGUUCCUGAAAAAAUUAUGUGAACUACCAGAUGACUUGGCAAUCCCAUUCCUGGAUGCAUACCCAAAGUAAAUGAGAUCAAAAUCUCAAAGAGCUAUCUGCACAUCCAUGUUCAUUGUGGCAUUAUUUACAGUGGCUAAUAUAUGAAAACAUGCUACGUAUCCAUUAAUGGAUGAAUGGAUAAAGAUGUGAUAAUAUACAGUAGAAUAUUAUUCAGCCAGGAGAAAAAAAGGAAGUCCUGACAUUUGCAACAGCAUGGAUGAACCUGAAGGACAUGAUAUGAGUGAAAUCAGCCAGACAGAGAAAGACAAAUACUGAAUGCCAUCACUUACACGUGGAAUUUUUUAUUGAAAAAAGUCAUGCUCACAAGAACAGAAAGUAGAAUGGUAGUAACCAGGACCUGGGGGUGGGGCAGGGGAAGGAGUGUGGUGAAGAAGUUGAGAUACAUUGAUAAAAGGGUACAUGCCUUCAGUUAUAAUAUGAAGAGUUUCCAAAGACUGAGGGUAUAGCAUAGUGACUAUAGUUAACACUGCUGCACUGUACAGGGCUUCCCAGGUGACACAGUUGUAAAGAAGCCACCUGCCAAUGCAGACAUGCAAGACAAGCAGGUUUGAUCCUUGGCUUGGGAAGAUCCCCCAGUGUAGUAAAUGGCAACCCACUCCAGUAUUCUUGCCUGGAAAAUUCCUUGUGCAGAGGAUCCUGGCUGGUUACAGUCCAUGGGGUCGCAAAGAGCUGGACACAACUGAGCAGCUGAGAGCACACACUGUAUUACAUAUUUGGAAUUCAGUAAUAAAGUAGAUCUCAACUGUUCUCAGUAUGCACACACACACA